Molecule: ribosomal RNA, 251 nt
Filed under: uncultured bacterium
Lineage: Bacteria
Description: partial 16S ribosomal RNA
Rfam family: Bacterial small subunit ribosomal RNA
Source: RNAcentral
GACGUAGGGCGAGCGUUGUUCGGAAUUAUUGGGCGUAAAGGGCUCGUAGGCGGUUUGUCACGUCGGGAGUGAAAACACCGGGCUUAACUCGGUGCUUGCUUCCGAUACGGGCAGACUAGAGGCAUGCAGGGGAGAACGGAAUUCCUGGUGUAGCGGUGAAAUGCGCAGAUAUCAGGAGGAACACCGGUGGCGAAGGCGGUUCUCUGGGCAUGUCCUGACGCUGAGGAGCGAAAGUGUGGGGAGCGAACAGG